This 596-nucleotide long non-coding RNA is filed under the name Nicotiana benthamiana. RNAcentral describes it as "long non-coding RNA (NBEN_LNC005633)". The record is from RNAcentral. Lineage: Eukaryota; Viridiplantae; Streptophyta; Magnoliopsida; Solanales; Solanaceae.
GAGAAUCAUGAAUUAGUACUCAAAAUCAAAAAAUAAAGUGAUUUGAAAUAGGAGUCAGAAACCCUAGUUUAAAGAGGAACAGAAAUCGUUAACAACUGGAAUAAUCGUAAAAAUCGAGUAAAAAUAGUUCAAAACAUUAAGGUGUGAGUUAAAAUUAUUAAGGAAAUCAGAGAUCUGAGAGGUUCGGGUUACGUUUAGGGUUUCAUAAGAAACUAGUAAGAGGGGUAAGAGAAACCUGGCCGUGAACCUCAAAGAUAAUGGUGUUUUUAGCAUCAUCGAACCAACGUCCAUUGGAGAAAGGCCAUAAUCGGCCACGACGAGACUUCAGUGACCAUCUUAGUGGCGGACUUCUGGGGUUUCAAACUUUGAAUCGAAGUAGCAAUAUAGGAUCCCAUGGUUGCUAGAGGUUGAGAGAAGUGAGGACGGAGCGUGGUCAGAGAGGCGAUGAAGCUCGUCGUAGAAUAAGGAGGAACUUGAUGGUUCUAGAGAGAAGGGAGAGGAAUCUUUAGUGAGAGAGUCAGAUAGAGAUAGAGAAUGGUCUCUGAGAAAUGAGGGGUCUGGGGGGUAGCCUUAGGAUUUAAUUUAGUCAAUUUGAU